RNAcentral lists this ribosomal RNA (96 nucleotides) under Gloeocystidiopsis flammea. RNAcentral describes it as "partial 5.8S ribosomal RNA". It matches the Rfam family "5.8S ribosomal RNA", at positions 62 to 154 of the family's 154-position model. Rfam says of the family: 5.8S ribosomal RNA (5.8S rRNA) is a component of the large subunit of the eukaryotic ribosome. Lineage: Eukaryota; Fungi; Basidiomycota; Agaricomycetes; Russulales; Stereaceae. The record is from RNAcentral.
GUAAUGUGAAUUGCAGAAUUCAGUGAAUCAUCGAAUCUUUGAACGCACCUUGCGCCCUUUGGUAUUCCGAAGGGCACACCUGUUUGAGUGUCGUGA